Odocoileus virginianus texanus is the source of this 2807-nucleotide long non-coding RNA. RefSeq lists it as uncharacterized. NCBI's taxonomy places the organism in Eukaryota, Metazoa, Chordata, Mammalia, Artiodactyla, Cervidae. The record is from RefSeq and is a predicted model, not a curated record.
UCUGAGGGCAGAGACGGAGAAAGCAGAGAGCAAGCCUGCCCGGGGAACAGGUGGAGAGGGGGAGCAGAGCUAGGCAGGACCCAAGGAGAGGUAAAGUUAGGAAAAAAAAAAAACAGAACUAAAGGGAUAAAGGACCAGUGAGCAGACCUGUCACAAAUAAGGAGAAAUGAUGAUUAAAAAGACAUGCGUGAAGAGAAAAGGAGGAACCAGGAAAAGGGAACAAGUAAGGAGACAAAAUAAGGAGUAAGCGCACAAGCUAAACGCUUAGAAAAUCACCAGGCAGUUUGGCUGACCGGGAGAAGCGCCAUAGCCAGACUCAAAAGGGAACCAUCAGAAAGACAGAGGCAGAUGAUUUAAGUAGCCAGCUCCUGAGGUAAAAAUGAAAAAUAAAUAAAUAAAUAAAAUAGAAGAUGGAAAAGGUGAGAAGCAGAAGAGGGAAAACCCAGAGGAGACACUGGCCCAGAAACCUUUUUAACUUUCUGUAAGAAUCUUCAAGGCCCCAAACUAGGCCAAGAUUCUGACUGACAUUUCUGAGCUCACCAGCUGCUGUUUCCUUGAGAGAAUUCUGACAGGAAGGCAUAGAAAUGCAAGCCAACACUGCUAGCUCUGGAAAAAAAAAAAAAAAAAAAAUCCAUGCUCCAAACACCUCCACGGGGCUGGAGCCUGCCAGGGAAGAAGGCGCACAGAGGAGGGACCCGCCGGCAACUUUUCCCCAGGCUUGAACCAGGGAUGCUCGGGACACACCAAGAAUCCUCGCCCUAGAGGCUGCAGUCACCUCCCCCAGGAGCUGCCCCCUGCUCUGGCUGGUCAAACGGAACCAAGUCCGUCUUCCUGAGAGGUUUGGUCCCCUUCAACCAGCUACAGCAGGGCUGGCAAAGCCCAGUCCUUGGAGAAACAGAAGAAAUUCGCCUUCUGUGGCUGAAAGUACCUACUACCGUUUCUCUUAAGAAAAUGACUGAUUUUGUUAUCACACUCUCAUGCUCCCAGGAAGGGAGAAAAGGGGAGCCCUGGCUUCAAAAGUGAGCCAGAGUUCCACCUUCCACACACAGAUUUCUGUGUCUGCACCCACAACUAGACCCACUCACGUGCUCUUGACACACAGUAAGGAUUUUAGGAUGGGCUGUGCUUCAGCCCUGGACCACCCAGGGGAGAGCAUGACCCUUAGAAGAUGGGGCUCCGGCUCAAAGGGGGUUAGGGUUUUAGUUAAGGAACUUGGCCUUCGAAAAUUGGCCCAUUUCAUUGGAUUUGCAGUUCCCGGCUUGCUUGUUUCCCAAUGUUAUUUUUUUUUUUUUUUUUUUUUUUUUUUUUUUUGAGGGUUAUUUGUUUUCCGGAUUUUUUUUUUUUUUCUGUCAAACCAAAACAUAAUUCUUUUACACAGCCCAUUAUAUAAGUCUGGCAUGCUGUCUACUAACCAGUCCACCCAAAGAGAGCUACUCACUAAGAAAUAUAUGUGUGACUCAGUUUCCCAUCUAUAAAAUGGGAAUAAUAACAACCAUUGUACCUACCACAUAUGGUUUUAUGAGGAAUGGAAUACAUGUAAGGGAAUUGGGAAGCCUGCAAUAAUUUUUACCUGCUAUUAAAGAAGGGAUCCUGACCUGCUUUCCAAUUUCUCUUCCAAAAUUUCUAUCUUUGGGUCUUCUUUGGCAGUCCAGUGGUCAAGACUUCAUACUUUCAAUGCAGGGGACAGAGAUUUGAUCCCUGGUCAGGGAACUAAGAUCCCACAUGCUGCAUGGCGUGGCCAAAAAAAGUCUAUCUUUAACAGUGUUCCUUGGGGUAUGCCCAGUACUUUAGCUAGGCUUAUAUCUGCUGAUGGAAUUACAGAAGCCUGUGUUCACAUGCUGUCCUGACACCAGUGUGUUCUCACGAUGCCCGGGGCCACCAAGUCUCCGCAUGAGGAAGCUUAUUUGGUGAAUUAUAUGUAUGUGCCUGGGGGCUCAGGGCAACCAGGUUUGAAUCCUGCCCCUCUUGUUUAUGAGUCCCGGUGUAGCCUCCCUGAGCCUCAGUUAACCUUGUAUAAACCUUAGUUUCCUCUUCUGUAAAAUGGGGACAAUAAUACUUAAAGUCGAUUUGAGGAUUUUAAAAGGUAAUGCUUAGCAAGAGCGACAUACAAGCCCCCAACCAAUGGCAGCUGGUGGGGUAUGGCUGUUAUACACACAACAGCUCAAAGACAAUGUUGUGUUCACAGGCACUCAUAACUGGAAGGCAAAGACCAGAUCUUUUUAAUUAAAACAGAAGAACUCAAAAAAAAAAAUCAGUGAAACUUCAUUACAGAGUAAUUUUAUAUUCUAACUAUUCUACUAUCAUGUAGCAUGCCUUCAUUCUGGUAUGUGUUACUAGUAAGUAAUAAGUUUUACUUAAAAAAUCAAUGGUUCAUACAUGAGAUUGACCAUCUUACCUUAAAGAAAUAUCCUGCCUGGAAAACUCAUUUGAGAACACUGCCAAGAUGCCAGUCUGCAACCACAUCUGUAAUCAGUUUGUCCUUCGAAGAGUAUAGGAAGGCCAUAGUGUAUGGAAUUUAGACACAGGCGCCAGAAUGAGACUGCCUGGCAGAUUCCAGCAUCCUUGCCCCUUACCAACUGUGCCACUUUGGGCUAAUUGUUUGACCUCUCUAGGCCUAGAUUCCCUCAUAUGUAAAAUGGAAAUAUUAAUGAUGUGUCCACCUCACAAGGUUUUCAUGAAAACAAAAUGAAAAUGUAAAGGUAUAAAACUAGUGCUGGGUGCAGAACAAACUUUUAAGUCUUUGACAAUGUAUCUGAAAUGUUCCUGAAACUAAGCUGAUGUUCAAUAAAAAUUUAUUUAAUAAGUGA